Suricata suricatta (meerkat) is the source of this 107-nucleotide small nuclear RNA. NCBI's taxonomy places the organism in Eukaryota, Metazoa, Chordata, Mammalia, Carnivora, Herpestidae. The record is from Ensembl.
GUGCUCGCUUCGGCAGCGCAGAUACUAAAACCGGACCGAUACAGAGAAGAUUAGCAUGGCCCCUGCGCAAGGAUGACGCGCAAAUCUGUGAAGGGUUCCGUAUAUUU